Long non-coding RNA from Daktulosphaira vitifoliae (grape phylloxera), 779 nucleotides. RefSeq lists it as uncharacterized. The transcript is spliced from 3 exons. Lineage: Eukaryota; Metazoa; Arthropoda; Insecta; Hemiptera; Phylloxeridae. The record is from RefSeq and is a predicted model, not a curated record.
AAUAGCUUUAUAACUAUUUAAAAACCUUGCCCCUAAAUUUAUUCAUAUUAGAAUUGAGGAAAUCUUAUUAUAAAUAAAAACAUGAAUUAUUAAAUGGCCGUCUCGUGGGUAUUCUAGGGUAAAGGCCACGUGUAAAGAAAGUCUCGUACUGGGAGAAAGGCUUAAAUAAGUCUGAAGCGGAGGCUUCUGUUAUAAUACUAUAGUGUAGCGCGGGAAAACCAGGUGGUGUCUUAACAUAACACAAAACCCGGUAUAAAACGAGUUAAAAUCGAUAAAUGGCGACCUACUCGUUUGACGCGAGCAAAGCAGCUUGUUGGGAUAUAAGUUGGUGGUCGGGAAAUGCCGUGGCCUGGAAGCGGUGGACAGGCGCAACCCGAAACAGAUAAGUGCAGAGAACACUAAAAGACCAACUACGACACCAAGAAGCGACGAACCGCCCGUCCUGCCAUCGGAUUCAUCUGUGCACACGCAACAAAAUAUAGCAUAAUACCUUGAGCACAGAAACUACUUCGAGUAUUGGUAGGCCUGGAAACGGUGACGAUGUGGUAUCCCUGUUUACACUUACAUAUGGCAUUGUGGUCCACCUGUGCGCACACCGCGUGCUUGUCGUGAAGCUGACACGUGUCAUCUUGAAAACACUGCUCUCCCAAGUCUACAAAUUUAAUUGGAAAUUAAACAAAAGUAUUUAUUUAUGCGAUCACAUUGAUAAAUUAUAUUAAUAAAAUCUAAAAUUGUCAUAAUACAGUCCAAAAAAUUAUUAUAUACCAAUAAUUAUUGUA